RNAcentral lists this ribosomal RNA (427 nucleotides) under uncultured Gammaproteobacteria bacterium. RNAcentral's name for it is "bacterial SSU rRNA". It matches the Rfam family "Bacterial small subunit ribosomal RNA", at positions 21 to 444 of the family's 1533-position model. Lineage: Bacteria; Pseudomonadati; Pseudomonadota; Gammaproteobacteria. The record is from RNAcentral.
CGCUCAGAUUGAACGCUGGCGGCAGGCCUAACACAUGCAAGUCGAGCGGUAACACAAGGGAGCUUGCUUCUGAGGUGACGAGCGGCGGACGGGUGAGUAAUGCCUAGGGAUCUGCCCAGUCGAGGGGGAUAACAGUUGGAAACGACUGCUAAUACCGCAUACGCCCUACGGGGGAAAGGAGGGGACCUUCGGGCCUUCCGCGAUUGGAUGAACCUAGGUGGGAUUAGCUAGUUGGUGAGGUAAUGGCUCACCAAGGCGACGAUCCCUAGCUGUUCUGAGAGGAUGAUCAGCCACACUGGGACUGAGACACGGCCCAGACUCCUACGGGAGGCAGCAGUGGGGAAUAUUGCACAAUGGGGGAAACCCUGAUGCAGCCAUGCCGCGUGUGUGAAGAAGGCCUUCGGGUUGUAAAGCACUUUCAGAGGGA